Long non-coding RNA from Eufriesea mexicana, 730 nucleotides. RefSeq lists it as uncharacterized. The record is from RefSeq and is a predicted model, not a curated record. Lineage: Eukaryota; Metazoa; Arthropoda; Insecta; Hymenoptera; Apidae. The transcript is spliced from 3 exons.
AUCCCAGAUAACGCCGUUGCAUCUGUACAAAACGACGACAACGAGGAGAUAUCGAGUUGCGUGUUGUUCUUCGCCGCGUUCGGACGUGUGACCGGGUUUGUGUUGAUCGUGCCACGUGCCAUCGGGACUUCGACGCAGCUGGAGUUCAACGAGAGUUCGGCUUCCCGUUGAGCGACGUCGAAUAUCUCCGGGAGCAAAAGCCAGCGUGAACUCGCGGGAUUACGAGAAGGUAGCAGCGUGGGAAAGGAUACGGAUAAUUUGCGCCGAAAUUGAAUGACGCAUUAUCCGAGGCAAAAGACGAUAUUUAGCGCAUUCGUUUGGUUAAUUGAAAACUCCGCGAGCGCGUCUUCCGUGGAAAAGGGGUGCAAGGGAGAUGGGCGCAGCCGUGUACGCCGCGGCUAAGUAUACUAUCACCGGGCGCGCAACUGGCACGGUUAAAACAAUACUCGUGACGAAUGUACGCUUCACGCAGCCCCUUGCGCGCAAUUAAUUAUUCGCAACUAUAGUGAUUAAUGGUGGUAAUUCGGGGGAGCACGGGACUGAAACGGCAGCGCCGAGGGACAGAACGUUACGAGCCGCGGCAACCCUAUUUAAUAUCGCGAUACCGACCCCCUCCGACCAUCGGUCCGGCUUCACGGGGAAAGAAAUCUUCGAAUCCUCUUAAACACCUGUUGUCUCCGCGUCUUUUUUCCCUCCCGUUCAACGCGGUCGCGAUUCUCGUCGUCGCCCC